UACGAAGGUGGCAAGCGUUGUUCGGAUUUACUGGGCGUACAGGGAGCGUAGGCGGUUUGGUAAGCCCUCCGUGAAAUCUUCGGGCUCAACCCGGAAAGUUCAGAGGGGACUGCCAGGCUAGAGGACGGGAGAGGAGCGCGGAAUUCCCGGUGUAGCGGUUAAAUGCGUGGAGAUCGGGAGGAAGGCCGGUGGCGAGGGCGGGGAUCUGGAACGUUUCUGACGCUGAGGCUUCAAAGCGUGGGGAGCACACAGG
RNAcentral lists this ribosomal RNA (253 nucleotides) under uncultured bacterium. RNAcentral's name for it is "partial 16S ribosomal RNA". It matches the Rfam family "Bacterial small subunit ribosomal RNA", at positions 524 to 776 of the family's 1533-position model. The record is from RNAcentral.